RNAcentral lists this ribosomal RNA (440 nucleotides) under uncultured bacterium. RNAcentral describes it as "partial 16S ribosomal RNA". It matches the Rfam family "Bacterial small subunit ribosomal RNA", at positions 339 to 795 of the family's 1533-position model. The record is from RNAcentral.
CUACGGGUCGCAGCAGUGAGGAAUAUUGCACAAUGGGGGGAACACUGAUGCAGCAACGCCGCGUGGAGGAUGACGCAUUUCGGUGUGUAAACUCCUUUUAUAUGUCAAGAAAAUGACGGUAGCAUAUGAAUAAGCACCGGCUAACUCCGUGGCCAGCAGCCGCGGUAAUACGGAGGGUGCAAGCGUUACUCGGAAUCACUGGGCGUAAAGGACGCGUAGGCGGGUUGGAAAGUCAGGUGUGAAAUCCUACAGCUUAACUGUAGAACUGCACUUGAAACUUCUAAUCUAGAGUAUGGGAGGGGGAGAUGGAAUUAGUGGUGUAGGGGUAAAAUCCGUAGAUAUCACUAGGAAUACCUAAAGCGAAGGCGAUCUCCUGGAACAUUACUGACGCUAAGGCGUGAAAGCGUGGGGAGCAAACAGGAUUAGAUACCCCAGUAGUC